UACAUUUGCGCCGAUUUUGGUUUUCUAACAGAUAAUCUAUCUAUUAGAAAUUAAAAGGGAAUUUGGUGAAAAUCCAAAACUGUUCCCGCAACUGUAAGCUAUAAAGCUUGUAACUAAAACUUUAACCACUGUUUUUAACGGGAAGGUAAGUUACAAGACGCAAGUCAGGAGACCUGCCACAAUCGAAAUAAGUAA
RNAcentral lists this non-coding RNA (195 nucleotides) under Tenacibaculum holothuriorum. Lineage: Bacteria; Pseudomonadati; Bacteroidota; Flavobacteriia; Flavobacteriales; Flavobacteriaceae. The record is from RNAcentral.